GACGUGACUUCAGAGUUUGAUCCUGGCUCAGAGCGAACGCUGGCGGCAGGCUUAACACAUGCAAGUCGAACGGGCACUUCGGUGCUAGUGGCAGACGGGUGAGUAACACGUGGGAACGUACCUUUCGGUUCGGAAUAAUUCAGGGAAACUUGGACUAAUACCGGAUACGCCCUUCGGGGGAAAGAUUUAUCGCCGAUAGAUCGGCCCGCGUCUGAGUAGCUAGUUGGUGAGGUAACGGCUCACCAAGGCGACGAUCAGUAGCUGGUCUGAGAGGAUGAUCAGCCACAUUGGGACUGAGACACGGCCCAA
Molecule: ribosomal RNA, 309 nt
Filed under: uncultured bacterium
Lineage: Bacteria
Description: partial 16S ribosomal RNA
Rfam family: Bacterial small subunit ribosomal RNA
Source: RNAcentral